GUCUGUAAACCAGGGCUAGAGAAAACAGCAAAUCUGCCUGCGUGUACAGGGUUGUUCGCGGGGAUUCGCAGAGAUUCAGGGCGUAUAAGGCGCCUUUAUGAGAUGUGAGGAAAGAGACUGGGGAAACUCAGGCAGAGUCCCCAAGCCCGGGUGACACUAAUGCAAGGUGGGCGGAGGGGCAAGGAUUGGAAACUCAGGCCGUGGGACAGAAGUCUCCCUUAAACCCCACAAGGAUUGUACGAAGCAGAUCCUACGAAGUCUGUUGACAGGGCACGUCCCUCUAGGCGCCGGGUUCCCUUCUGCAGCACAGCCCCCAGCCCUGCCUUCCAAGCCCAUGGAAGGUGAUCCAGAGAACCGGCAAGAACAUCGCAGGGCAGAUAGGAAAGGGCUGGGGAAGUGGCCCCCAGCCCUCGGCCCCUGGCCUCGACCCCUAGUCCCUGGCUCCUGGCCCCCAGCUCCCGGCCCCCGGCCCCUGGCCCCC
This is a long non-coding RNA of Leopardus geoffroyi (Geoffroy's cat), 481 nucleotides long. RefSeq lists it as uncharacterized. NCBI's taxonomy places the organism in Eukaryota, Metazoa, Chordata, Mammalia, Carnivora, Felidae. The record is from RefSeq and is a predicted model, not a curated record. The transcript has 3 exons.